UCACUCUCACCUACCCAGUCUCCAUUGGCGCGGAUCCAAUCGGUGAGGCUGCUGUCAAGACCCUGAUGGUUGAGGAGUAGUGACUGUUCUUGGACCUGGUGGUGUGAGUCCUGAGGCACCAUCGACCUGAGAGCAUGGCCUGGGUGGUGAGGAUCUUUGAUGGAUGCUGCUUCCCCGCGGGACAUAUUCAGAGGGACAUAUGUAUGCAGUUUCAGUGAACAGAUGGUGGAUGCAGGGUCGGAGUUGAGGAACGAAGACACUUGAAAUCGUUACACUGUUGUUGACCGCGCAGGAUUCGGGAACAUUUCACAGCUCCUAGGAACGCCUCCUGCAGACUUUGCAAUGUGAUCUGGCGGAGAAAUGGGGCCUUUCUAUACAAAUAGGCAAAAUAAAAC
This is a long non-coding RNA of Mobula hypostoma (lesser devil ray), 395 nucleotides long. RefSeq lists it as uncharacterized. Lineage: Eukaryota; Metazoa; Chordata; Chondrichthyes; Myliobatiformes; Myliobatidae. The record is from RefSeq and is a predicted model, not a curated record. The transcript is spliced from 3 exons.